AAUCGCGAACCGUUACUGCAUGGAUUACUCUCGGUCUCUUUGUUUGCUCAUCGACAUUACGAGGUCAUGUACACUGUGGUCAACUUUGUGGACGAUGAAGAGGUUUCUGGGUAAAGAUGAUAGAAAUAUAACGAAGUAACAGUGGAAGCUAAAACAUCAGACUGAUCUAGACACUGAAGAAAUUGAUGUCACUGCAAUCUGGCCAAAAUGAUACAACAAUAUUGAAGUAGCCUACUGUAAUGAAGCUGCAGAACAACACAGAGACUCUGAGGACAUCAACACAGAAAAUGAAG
Long non-coding RNA from Paramisgurnus dabryanus, 293 nucleotides. RefSeq lists it as uncharacterized. Lineage: Eukaryota; Metazoa; Chordata; Actinopteri; Cypriniformes; Cobitidae. The record is from RefSeq and is a predicted model, not a curated record.